This 314-nucleotide ribosomal RNA is filed under the name uncultured methanogenic archaeon. RNAcentral's name for it is "bacterial SSU rRNA". It matches the Rfam family "Archaeal small subunit ribosomal RNA", at positions 1030 to 1343 of the family's 1478-position model. Lineage: Archaea; Methanobacteriati; Methanobacteriota. The record is from RNAcentral.
UAAGUCAGGCAACGAGCGAGACCCGUGCCCACUGUUACCAGCAUGUCCUCCGGGAUGAUGGGUACUCUGUGGGGACCGCCGGUGUUAAAUCGGAGGAAGGUGCGGGCCACGGUAGGUCAGUAUGCCCCGAAUUUCCCGGGCUACACGCGGGCUACAAUGAAUGGGACAAUGGGUCCCUACCCUGAAAAGGGCUGGUAAUCUCACAAACCCAUCCGUAGUUCGGAUCGAGGGCUGUAACUCGCCCUCGUGAAGCUGGAAUCCGUAGUAAUCGCGUUUCAAUAUAGCGCGGUGAAUACGUCCCUGCUCCUUGCACA